GAUGAACGCUGGCGGCGUGCCUAAUACAUGCAAGUCGAGCGAACAGAUGAGGAGCUUGCUCCUCUGACGUUAGCGGCGGACGGGUGAGUAACACGUGGAUAACCUACCUAUAAGACUGGGAUAACUUCGGGGAACCGGAGCUAAUACCGGAUAAUAUAUUGAACCGCAUGGUUCAAUAGUGAAAGACGGUUUUGCUGUCACUUAUAGAUGGAUCCGCGCCGCAUUAGCUAGUUGGUAAGGUAACGGCUUACCAAGGCAACGAUGCGUAGCCGACCUGAGAGGGUGAUCGGCCACACUGGAACUGAGACACGGUCCAGACUCCUACGGGAGGCAGCAGUAGGGAAUCUUCCGCAAAGGGCGAAAGCCUGACGGAGCAACGCCGCGUGAGUGAUGAAGGUCUUCGGAUCGUAAAACUCUGUUAUUAGGGAAGAACAAAUGUGUAAGUAACUAUGCACGUCUUGACGGUACCUAAUCAGAAAGCCACGGCUAACUACGUG
This 497-nucleotide ribosomal RNA is filed under the name uncultured bacterium. Its description in RNAcentral is "partial 16S ribosomal RNA". It matches the Rfam family "Bacterial small subunit ribosomal RNA", at positions 28 to 507 of the family's 1533-position model. The record is from RNAcentral.